UCGAUGAAUGGAUCAUAACAUAUUCCGAAGCGGUUUCACGAUGUAACUCGAUCGGUGGGACACUCUUCGUUCCCAAUAGUAACGAUGAGCUUCAUGCUGUCACCAGUACAUACCAAGGCUAUGAGGGAAGCUUCUGGGUCGGAUGUACGUAUAAACCUAUGGAGGGUACCUACCCAUGUGAAGACGGGACUAAGUUAGAUAUCAAUAGUAGUUGGUGGUGGGCAGACAUCGAAAUUCCCGCCAGUAGCACCUACAACUGCGUCACCUUAUCUCACUACUUCUCCAGUUUGUUCCACGUUCUUUGUGAUCAAUCUUAUAGAAAUCUUUGCGAAGUUAAACCGACAACCACCAUCCAAUCUCCAGGCUUCUUCUCCCUUGCUAAGGACAACAAAGGACGCCCUCUGAUUGGCCACUGUCUAACUGAUCACGUGAUAAAGACAGUGCUAGCGAAAA
This is a long non-coding RNA of Strongylocentrotus purpuratus (purple sea urchin), 453 nucleotides long. RefSeq lists it as uncharacterized. The transcript is spliced from 3 exons. Lineage: Eukaryota; Metazoa; Echinodermata; Echinoidea; Camarodonta; Strongylocentrotidae. The record is from RefSeq and is a predicted model, not a curated record.